Molecule: ribosomal RNA, 500 nt
Filed under: uncultured bacterium
Lineage: Bacteria
Description: partial 16S ribosomal RNA
Rfam family: Bacterial small subunit ribosomal RNA
Source: RNAcentral
AUUGAACGCUGGCGGCAGGCCUAACACAUGCAAGUCGAGCGGAUGAAGAGAGCUUGCUCUCUGAUUCAGCGGCGGACGGGUGAGUAAUGCCUAGGAAUCUGCCUGGUAGUGGGGGACAACGUUUCGAAAGGAACGCUAAUACCGCAUACGUCCUACGGGAGAAAGGGGGGGAUCUUCGGACCUCACGCUAUCAGAUGAGCCUAGGUACGAUUAGCUAGUUGGUGGGGUAAAGGCUCACCAAGGCGACGAUCGUUAACUGGUCUGAGAGGAUGAUCAGUCACACUGGAACUGAGACACGGUCCAGACUCCUACGGGAGGCAGCAGUGGGGAAUAUUGGACAAUGGGCGAAAGCCUGAUCCAGCCAUGCCGCGUGUGUGAAGAAGGUCUUCGGAUUGUAAAGCACUUUAAGUUGGGAGGAAGGGCAGUAAGUUAAUACCUUGCUGUUUUGACGUUACCGACAGAAUAAGCACCGGCUAACUUCGUGCCAGCCGCCGCCGUAA